Molecule: transfer RNA, 69 nt
Filed under: uncultured Isochrysis
Lineage: Eukaryota; Haptophyta; Isochrysidales
Rfam family: tRNA
About the family: Transfer RNA (tRNA) molecules are approximately 80 nucleotides in length. Their secondary structure includes four short double-helical elements and three loops (D, anti-codon, and T loops).
Source: RNAcentral
GGAUGUAGCGCAGUUUGGUAGCGCACCUGCCUUGGGAGCAGGGUGUCGCAGGUUCAAAUCCUGUCAUCC